GACGAACGCUGGCGGCGUGCUUAACACAUGCAAGUCGAGCGGUAAGGCCCUUUCGGGGGUACACGAGCGGCGAACGGGUGAGUAACACGUGGGUGACCUGCCCUCAGCUCUGGGAUAAGCCUGGGAAACCGGGUCUAAUACUGGAUAUGACUCCAUGACGCAUGUUGUGGGGUGGAAAGCCUUGUGCGGCUGAGGAUGGGCCCGCGGCCUAUCAGCUUGUUGGUGGGGUGAGGCCUACCAAGGCGACGACGGGUAGCCGGCCUGAGAGGGCGACCGGCCACACUGGGACUGAGACACGGCCCAGACUCCUACGGGAGGCAGCAGUGGGGAAUCUUGCGCAAUGGGCGAAAGCCUGACGCAGCGACGCCGCGUGAGGGAUGACGGCCUGGUGUAACU
Molecule: ribosomal RNA, 396 nt
Filed under: uncultured bacterium
Lineage: Bacteria
Description: bacterial SSU rRNA
Rfam family: Bacterial small subunit ribosomal RNA
Source: RNAcentral